Molecule: transfer RNA, 76 nt
Filed under: Escherichia coli
Lineage: Bacteria; Pseudomonadati; Pseudomonadota; Gammaproteobacteria; Enterobacterales; Enterobacteriaceae
Description: tRNA-Thr
Rfam family: tRNA
About the family: Transfer RNA (tRNA) molecules are approximately 80 nucleotides in length. Their secondary structure includes four short double-helical elements and three loops (D, anti-codon, and T loops). Further hydrogen bonds mediate the characteristic L-shaped molecular structure. tRNAs have two regions of fundamental functional importance: the anti-codon, which is responsible for specific mRNA codon recognition, and the 3' end, to which the tRNAs corresponding amino acid is attached (by aminoacyl-tRNA synthetases). tRNAs cope with the degeneracy of the genetic code in two manners: having more than one tRNA (with a specific anti-codon) for a particular amino acid; and 'wobble' base-pairing, i.e. permitting non-standard base-pairing at the 3rd anti-codon position.
Source: RNAcentral
GCUGAUAUGGCUCAGUUGGUAGAGCGCACCCUUGGUAAGGGUGAGGUCCCCAGUUCGACUCUGGGUAUCAGCGCCA